AAAUUAAAACUUUCACCAACGGAUCUCUUGGUUCUGGCAUCGAUGAAGAACGCAGCGAAAUGCGAUAAGUAAUGUGAAUUGCAGAAUUCAGUGAAUCAUCGAAUCUUUGAACGCACAUUGCGCCCCUUGGUAUUCCGAGGGGCAUGCCUGUUCGAGCGUCAUU
This 163-nucleotide ribosomal RNA is filed under the name Gallowayella fulva. Its description in RNAcentral is "Xanthomendoza fulva 5.8S ribosomal RNA". It matches the Rfam family "5.8S ribosomal RNA". From Rfam's summary of the family: 5.8S ribosomal RNA (5.8S rRNA) is a component of the large subunit of the eukaryotic ribosome. The record is from RNAcentral. Lineage: Eukaryota; Fungi; Ascomycota; Lecanoromycetes; Teloschistales; Teloschistaceae.